RNAcentral lists this ribosomal RNA (400 nucleotides) under uncultured bacterium. RNAcentral's name for it is "bacterial SSU rRNA". It matches the Rfam family "Bacterial small subunit ribosomal RNA", at positions 355 to 747 of the family's 1533-position model. The record is from RNAcentral.
UAGGGAAUCUUCCGCAAUGGACGAAAGUCUGACGGAGCAACGCCGCGUGAGCGAAGAAGGCCUUCGGGUCGUAAAGCUCUGUUGUUAGGGAAGAACAAGUACGAGAGUAACUGCUCGUACCUUGACGGUACCUAACCAGAAAGCCACGGCUAACUACGUGCCAGCAGCCGCGGUAAUACGUAGGUGGCAAGCGUUGUCCGGAAUUAUUGGGCGUAAAGCGCGCGCAGGCGGUCCUUUAAGUCUGAUGUGAAAGCCCACGGCUCAACCGUGGAGGGUCAUUGGAAACUGGGGGACUUGAGUGCAGAAGAGGAGAGUGGAAUUCCACGUGUAGCGGUGAAAUGCGUAGAGAUGUGGAGGAACACCAGUGGCGAAGGCGACUCUCUGGUCUGUAACUGACGCU